GACGCACGUGAAGAGGCUGCAUGGUGAGAUGCAAACCUCUCUGGAUGAAAGGGCAGCUGGCACGCCAGGCUGGCGGCGGUUUUUUUGCCAUCUCCUCCUUCUUUAUUCUGCUGCGAUUUGGAAAGCUUGCAGAACGUGGAGACGUAGUGACUCCCCGCCUGUUUUCACCACUGGAGGGGCUGGAGAGAAUAAAAACGCUCUGGUUUGAGCGCACCUCAGUCCGGGGCCAUAAACGCUUGUGCUCUGCAUACCGACAACUGCGCAUCAAACAAAGGUGUCCUUACCCUGUGCUACGAGAUAGAAAAACCCCGAAUGGUGGAGAAGAAAGAAGAAGGAAAACUGACAGAAACCUGACGUUUAUUGAGGGACUUCUGGGAUCAUGGACGUUCAGUGUGAAUAGAACUCAUGAUGAGACCAAAGAAGAAGGAGAAGAAAGAGAAGAAGACUGCUUCACGCUCCUACCCACGCACCCAGCUGCACCCAGAGAGCUCACUCCCCUCCACGCCCCCCCGCCUCUCACCCCAGCAGCCUGCACACUGCUCAGCUAUGGGCAAAGGCUUAAUGGAGCUGAGAACCUUCUUUCCCCACUUCCUGUGCAGUCAGCCAGCUGCGACUGGGAAAGGCCCACCACCAACUCCAGGAGCCAGGAGGGUGAUGAAGACUGA
Molecule: long non-coding RNA, 665 nt
Filed under: Oryctolagus cuniculus (rabbit)
Lineage: Eukaryota; Metazoa; Chordata; Mammalia; Lagomorpha; Leporidae
Description: lncRNA (ENSOCUG00000036112.1)
Source: RNAcentral